RNAcentral lists this ribosomal RNA (348 nucleotides) under uncultured bacterium. Its description in RNAcentral is "bacterial SSU rRNA". It matches the Rfam family "Bacterial small subunit ribosomal RNA", at positions 72 to 445 of the family's 1533-position model. The record is from RNAcentral.
GGGCUCCUCGGAGCUAGUGGCGGACGGGUGAGUAACGCGUGAGAAUCUGCCUCCAGGUCUGGGACAACAGAAGGAAACUUCUGCUAAUCCCGGAUGAGCCCUUGGGUAAAAGAUAAAUUGCCUGGAGAUGAGCUCGCGUCUGAUUAGCUAGUUGGUGUGAUAAAACCAUACCAAGGCGACGAUCAGUAGCUGGUCUGAGAGGAUGAGCAGCCACACUGGGACUGACACACGGCCCAGACUCCUACGGGAGGCAGCAGUGGGGAAUUUUCCGCAAUGGGCGAAAGCCUGACGGAGCACGACCGCGUGGGGGAGGAAAGCUCGAGGGUAGCCAACCCCUUUUCUUUGGGA